This 520-nucleotide ribosomal RNA is filed under the name uncultured Glomus. Its description in RNAcentral is "SSU rRNA". It matches the Rfam family "Eukaryotic small subunit ribosomal RNA", at positions 569 to 1091 of the family's 1831-position model. Lineage: Eukaryota; Fungi; Glomeromycota; Glomeromycetes; Glomerales; Glomeraceae. The record is from RNAcentral.
AGCAGCCGCGGUAAUUCCAGCUCCAAUAGCGUAUAUUAAAGUUGUUGCAGUUAAAAAGCUCGUAGUUGAAUUUCGGGGUUAGUAGGUUGGUCAUGCCUCUGGUAUGUACUGGUCUCACUGAUUCCUCCUUCCUGAUGAACCGUAAUGCCAUUAAUUUGGCGUUGCGGGGAAUUUGGACUGUUACUUUGAAAAAUUAGAGUGUUUAAAGCAAGCUAACGCUUGAAUACAUUAGCAUGGAAUAAUGAAAUAGGACGUUCGAUCCUAUUUUGUUGGUUUCUAGGAUUGACGUAAUGAUUAAUAGGGAUAGUUGGGGGCAUUAGUAUUCAAUUGUCAGAGGUGAAAUUCUUGGAUUUAUUGAAGACUAACUACUGCGAAAGCAUUUGCCAAGGAUGUUUUCAUUAAUCAAGAACGAAAGUUAGGGGAUCGAAGACGAUCAGAUACCGUCGUAGUCUUAACCAUAAACUAUGCCGACUAGGGAUCGGAUGAUGUUAAUUUUUAAUGUACUCAUUCGGCGCCUUAC